GAUGAACGCUGGCGGCGUGCCUAAUACAUGCAAGUCGAGCGAACGGACGAGAAGCUUGCUCCUCUGAUGUUAGCGGCGGACGGGUGAGUAACACGUGGAUAACCUACCUAUAAGACUGGGAUAACUUCGGGAAACCGGAGCUAAUACCGGAUAAUAUAUUGAACCGCAUGGUUCAAAAGUGAAAGACGGUCUUGCUGUCACUUAUAGAUGGAUCCGCGCCGCAUUAGCUAGUUGGUAAGGUAACGGCUUACCAAGGCAACGAUGCAUAGCCGACCUGAGAGGGUGAUCGGCCACACUGGAGCUGAGACACGGUCCAGACUCCUACGGGAGGCAGCAGUAGGGAAUCUUCCGCAAUGGGCGAAAGCCUGACGGAGCAACGCCGCGUGAGUGAUGAAGGUCUUCGGAUCGUAAAACUCUGUUAUUAGGGAAGAACAAAUGUGUAAGUAACUGUGCACAUCUUGACGGUACCUAAUCAGAAAGCCACGGCUAACUACGUG
RNAcentral lists this ribosomal RNA (497 nucleotides) under uncultured bacterium. RNAcentral describes it as "partial 16S ribosomal RNA". It matches the Rfam family "Bacterial small subunit ribosomal RNA", at positions 28 to 507 of the family's 1533-position model. The record is from RNAcentral.